This 440-nucleotide ribosomal RNA is filed under the name uncultured bacterium. Its description in RNAcentral is "partial 16S ribosomal RNA". It matches the Rfam family "Bacterial small subunit ribosomal RNA", at positions 338 to 795 of the family's 1533-position model. The record is from RNAcentral.
CCUACGGGAGGCAGCAGUGGGGGAUAUUGCACAAUGGGGGGAACCCUGAUGCAGCGACGCCGCGUGGGUGAAGGAGUGUUUCGUUGCGUAAAGCUCUAUCGGCAGGGAAGAAGAUGACGGUACCUGACUAAGAAGCCCCGGCUAACUACGUGCCAGCAGCCGCGGUAAUACGUAGGGGGCAAGCGUUAUCCGGAUUUACUGGGUGUAAAGGGGGCGUAGACGGCAAUGCAAGUCAGGAGUGAAAGGCCGGGGCUCAACCCCCGGACUGCUCUUGAAACUGGAUGGCUGGAGUGCAGGAGGGGCAAGUGGAAUUCCUAGUGUAGCGGUGAAAUGCGUAGAUAUUAGGAGGAACACCAGUGGCGAAGGCGGCCUACUGGACUGUAACUGACGUUGAGGCCCGAAGGCGUGGGGAGCAAACAGGAUUAGAUACCCUAGUAGUC